AUUUGAUAUAUUACUAUACAUUUAACUAGAUUGGUAUUUUUAUGCAGAAGGGCUUUUAGUUGUAUUUUGUUGUCUCUUACAAGUUUAUAUUAUAACAGUGUGACAAUAAUUGAAUGGGAAAUUAUAACUUUAAAUUCUUCUUCAGUCGUAAUGACUUUAAUUUUUGAUUGAAUUUCUUUUAUAUUUUUAGGAUUUGUACUUUUUAUUUCUUCAAUAGUGUUAUUCUACAGAGGUGAUUAUAUAGAGGGAGACAAAAGAUUUAAUCGCUUCAUAUAUUUAGUUCUUGCUUUUGUAUUGUCUAUAGGUGCUUUAAUUGUAAGGCCAAAUAUAAUUAGAAUUUUAUUAGGUUGGGAUGGGCUAGGUUUAGUAUCAUACGCAUUAGUUAUUUUUUACCAAAAUGAAAAAUCUGCAAAUGCAGGAAUACUAACAGUUUUGUCUAACCGAGUUGGUGACGUUGCUAUUCUUCUUAGAAUCUCUUUAAUAUUUAUAGCAGGAGGUUGAAAUUUUAUUUUAUACAGAAGAUAUAUAAGGGAUUCUAAUUUGUUAUUAAUAAAAUGUUUAGUUGUCAUAGCAGCUAUAACAAAAAGGGCUCAAAUCCCCUUUUCUGCUUGGCUUCCAGCUGCCAUGGCAGCUCCUACUCCAGUGUCUGCACUAGUUCAUUCUUCUACUCUAGUUACGGCAGGUGUUUAUUUAUUAAUUCGUUUUAGCCCAGCUUUAAUAGGAUCAGAAGCCCAAUCUGUUUUAUUAAUUAUUUCUUGUCUGACAAUAUUUAUAGCAGGAUUAGGGGCUAAUUUUGAGUAUGAUUUAAAAAAGAUUAUUGCUUUAUCAACAUUAAGUCAACUUGGUGUAAUACUAAGGAUUUUAGCUCUUGGUUUUGCUGACUUAGCUUUUUUCCAUUUAUUAGCUCAUGCUUUGUUCAAGGCACUCUUAUUUAUAUGUGCUGGAGUAGUUAUUCAUGCUGUAAAAGAAUACCAAGAUAUCCGUUGUAUAGGAAGAUUAGUUUUUAGAAUACCUUUAACUAGAACUUGUAUAAAUUUGGCUAAUUUAGCUUUAUGUGGAAUACCAUUUUUGGCAGGAUUUUAUUCUAAAGAUUUAAUUUUAGAAGUGGCUUUUAUAAGAAAUAUUAAUUUAUUAGCUUUCGUUUUAUAUGCUUUGGCUACAGGAUUAACUGUUUGUUAUAGAUUUCGUUUAGUUUAUUAUAGUUUGACUGGUCUAUUUAAUUUAAGAAGGAUGAGUCAAGUUAACGAUAAAAGUGUUGUUAUAACUAGAUCAAUGAUAAGAUUGAGGAUUGGUGGUGUCACGGGUGGAGCUUUUUUGUCUUGAGUGAUUUUCCCUGAAUCAUAUAUAAUUUGUUUAACUUUCACGUUUAAAGUGUUGGCUUUAGCAUUAAGAGUGUUAGGAGCUUUAAUUGGUUAUCUUUUAAAUAUUAUAAGUGUAAACUAUAGGUUACGUAGAUUAAAAAGUUAUAGUAAAGUUGUGUUUAUAGGGUCUAUGUGGUUUAUACCUUUUUUAUCUACAUUUAAUUUGAGUCAUGUUAGGUUAAAAACUGCGGGCGCAUGUAUGAAGGUUGGUGACUAUGGAUGAUCCGAACAUUUUGGGGGUCAAGGUUUGUAUUCUAAUGUUAUACAUCAAUCAGGGUACCUUCAAGUUUCUCAAAAUAGAAGUGUAAGAAUUUAUAUAAAAAGGUUUUUAUUUUGAGUAAUUGUUGUAUUUUUUAUUAUAAUUU
RNAcentral lists this unclassified non-coding RNA (1726 nucleotides) under Homarus americanus (American lobster). RNAcentral's name for it is "nADH-ubiquinone oxidoreductase chain 5". Lineage: Eukaryota; Metazoa; Arthropoda; Malacostraca; Decapoda; Nephropidae. The record is from RNAcentral.